This 499-nucleotide ribosomal RNA is filed under the name uncultured bacterium. RNAcentral's name for it is "partial 16S ribosomal RNA". It matches the Rfam family "Bacterial small subunit ribosomal RNA", at positions 28 to 507 of the family's 1533-position model. The record is from RNAcentral.
GACGAACGCUGGCGGCGUGCUUAACACAUGCAAGUCGAACGGGCCCGCCCCUGUUUUUGGGGGUGGGUUGAGUGGCGAACGGGUGAGUAUCACGUGAGUAACCUGCCCCCUGCUCCUGGAUAACUGCUUGAAAGGGCGGCUAAUACGGGGUGUGCCGGCUGGUCCGCAUGGGCCUGGUCGGGAUAGUUUCAUCUUCGGGUGUUUCGGUGGGGGAUGGGCUCGCGGCCUAUCAGCUUGUUGGUGGGGUGAUGGCCCACCAAGGCGGUGACGGGUAGCCGGCCUGAGAGGGUGGGCGGCCACACUGGGACGGAGACACGGCCCAGACUCCUGCGGGAGGCAGCAGUGGGGGGUAUUGCACAAUGGGCGGAAGCCUGAUGCAGCGACGUCGCGUGAGGGAUGGAGGCCUUCGGGUUGUGAACCUCUUUCUCCGGUGGUGAAGGCCCUGUCCGUUGCGGCGGGGUUGACGGUAGCCGGGGAUGAAGCGCCGGCUAACUACGUG